This 406-nucleotide ribosomal RNA is filed under the name uncultured bacterium. RNAcentral's name for it is "partial 16S ribosomal RNA". It matches the Rfam family "Bacterial small subunit ribosomal RNA", at positions 30 to 526 of the family's 1533-position model. The record is from RNAcentral.
AUUGAACGCUGGCGGCAGGCCUAACACAUGCAAGUCGAACGAGUGGCGGACGGGUGAGUAAUGACUGGGAAACUGCCUGAUGGAGGGGGAUAACUACUGGAAACGGUAGCUAAUACUGCCUACCAUCGUAUGUGCCCAGAUGGGCGUAGCUAGUAGGUGGGGUAAAGGCUCACCUAGUCGACGAUCCCUAGCUGGUCUGAGAGGAUGACCAGCAACACUGGAACGUAGACACGGUCCAGCCACCUACGGGAGGCAGCAGUGGGGAAUAUUGCACGAUGGGCGUAAGCCCGAUGCAGCCAUGACGAGUGUAUGACGAAGGCCUACGGGUUGUAAAGUACUUUCAUCGGGGAGGCGUGACCCGCAGUAGAAGCACCGGAUAACUCCGUGCCGGCCGCCGCGGUAAUUC